Molecule: non-coding RNA, 1149 nt
Organism: Lactuca sativa (garden lettuce)
Lineage: Eukaryota; Viridiplantae; Streptophyta; Magnoliopsida; Asterales; Asteraceae
Source: RefSeq, a predicted model, not a curated record
UGCCAUCUGCCCCUAUUCUAGCUAAGACACCACUACUUGGCUUCUUCCCUAAGAUAUCACCGACCGACUCACUAUACCUAGCUUACACUCUUUCAUUUUCUUCUUUAUUCUCUCAAUCAAUCUCUCUUGAAACCUAUGGAACCACCAUCUCCGACCACCACUACCACAUCUGUUCACGCCAUCUCCACCUAUUGUCCCCAAUUGCUGAAAUCACAUCUCCUCUUAUUCCCUUUCUUUCUUUUGACUAAUCCAUUUUAUUUCCCUCAGUUUAAUCAAGAUUAGAGGUCAUGGGUUCAUACGCGUCACUUGAAUUUGAACGAUGCUACCCACUGGUUCUACUUUUCUUUUUCACUUUUUUUUAUAUGCCUUGUCGCCUUUGCUUCAUCUGUUUGUGUUAUGUUCGCCUAAAGUUCAUUUUUUAACAAUAAAAACCCUAAUUUCUUCUUAUUUGAUUUUGAAGUAGUAUUUGUUUAGUAAUCUACGUGCUACAUGGACGCCUGAUUUCUACUUCCUUUCACACCUUCGUACUGACUCCCUCUCCUCGAUAGUUUGCGAUUACAAUUUAGGGUUCAUGAAUGGUCCUUCAAUUUCUAUUUUGAUCGUUCUCCUAUUAACAUUGGGUUAAUUUCACCGAUGGAUUAGUGUUGAAGAAUAACCUCACCCUUCGUCUUCUACUUUCUUUUAUUUACUCUUUCAACUGGAUGUGAAAUAUAAGUGAACAUCGGGAGUCAACGAUUGAAGAGGAAGCUAAGGGCUGAGCAUCAGAGAGCAAACUGAUGAGGUUCUAUAUGUAGAUUUGAGACAAUCAAGGCUCAUGAGGACAAAUAAUGCAAUGCUUUCAUGGCACCAGGUAGCAUCUUUAAGUAAAGGUCGGUGGAAAAAGCCCAAUAGAGUUGUGCUUCACAAGCUUCAUGAUGCAUGCGAAAAUACGGACAUCUUUAGAUCAACAAAAAUUUAAUCAUAUUCUGUGAAAACUCAAGCAAGAUUUAUUCUUGCGAUUUUUUAGUGAACUUAUCCAAAUAACUUGACAUGGUGAUAUUUUUAUUGAUUUCUAUAUCCAAAACUUACAAGCCCCAUCAAUUAUUGUAAAAAUCACACAUGCUUGAAACAAAAGAGUAUAUACAAUAAACUUAUACCAAAAGUUCUUCA